CGCGUAGGCGGCUUGGUAAGUCAGAUGUGAAAGCCCGGGGCUCAACCCCGGAAGUGCAUCUGAAACUGCUUGGCUUGAGUAUGGGAGAGGGUAGUGGAAUUCCUGGUGUAGAGGUGAAAUUCGUAGAUAUCAGGAGGAACACCGGUGGCGAAGGCGACUACCUGGACCAAUACUGACGCUGAGGCGCGAAGGCGUGGGGAGCAAACA
This 207-nucleotide ribosomal RNA is filed under the name uncultured bacterium. Its description in RNAcentral is "partial 16S ribosomal RNA". It matches the Rfam family "Bacterial small subunit ribosomal RNA", at positions 568 to 774 of the family's 1533-position model. The record is from RNAcentral.